GACGAACGCUGGCGGCGUGCCUAAUACAUGCAAGUAGAACGCAGUUGCGAACGGGUGAGUAACGCGUAGGUAACUUCCCCAUAGCGGGGGGUAACUUUUGGAAACGAUAGCUAAUACCCCAUACUGUGAGAUGGACCUGAGUUGUUUUAGAUAGUUGGUGAGGUAAAGGCUCACCAAGGCGAAGAUACAUAGCCGACCUGCGAGGGUGAGCCGCCCCACUGGGGGAGAGAGACGACCCAGACUCCUCCGGGAGGGAGCAGUAGGGAAACGUCGGGAAAGGACGGGAGUCGGACAGAGCAACGCCGCGUGAGUGAAGAAGGUUUUCGGAUCGUAAAGCUCUUUUGUGAGAGAAGCGGUAACUAACCAGAAAGGGACGGCUAACUACGUGCCAGCCGCCGCGGUAAAAC
RNAcentral lists this ribosomal RNA (407 nucleotides) under uncultured bacterium. RNAcentral describes it as "partial 16S ribosomal RNA". It matches the Rfam family "Bacterial small subunit ribosomal RNA", at positions 28 to 526 of the family's 1533-position model. The record is from RNAcentral.